RNAcentral lists this ribosomal RNA (1444 nucleotides) under Staphylococcus aureus. RNAcentral's name for it is "bacterial SSU rRNA". It matches the Rfam family "Bacterial small subunit ribosomal RNA". Lineage: Bacteria; Bacillati; Bacillota; Bacilli; Caryophanales; Staphylococcaceae. The record is from RNAcentral.
UUUAUGGAGAGUUUGAUCCUGGCUCAGGAUGAACGCUGGCGGCGUGCCUAAUACAUGCAAGUCGAGCGAACGGACGAGAAGCUUGCUUCUCUGAUGUUAGCGGCGGACGGGUGAGUAACACGUGGAUAACCUACCUAUAAGACUGGGAUAACUUCGGGAAACCGGAGCUAAUACCGGAUAAUAUUUUGAACCGCAUGGUUCAAAAGUGAAAGACGGUCUUGCUGUCACUUAUAGAUGGAUCCGCGCUGCAUUAGCUAGUUGGUAAGGUAACGGCUUACCAAGGCAACGAUGCAUAGCCGACCUGAGAGGGUGAUCGGCCACACUGGAACUGAGACACGGUCCAGACUCCUACGGGAGGCAGCAGUAGGGAAUCUUCCGCAAUGGGCGAAAGCCUGACGGAGCAACGCCGCGUGAGUGAUGAAGGUCUUCGGAUCGUAAAACUCUGUUAUUAGGGAAGAACAUAUGUGUAAGUAACUGUGCACAUCUUGACGGUACCUAAUCAGAAAGCCACGGCUAACUACGUGCCAGCAGCCGCGGUAAUACGUAGGUGGCAAGCGUUAUCCGGAAUUAUUGGGCGUAAAGCGCGCGUAGGCGGUUUUUUAAGUCUGAUGUGAAAGCCCACGGCUCAACCGUGGAGGGUCAUUGGAAACUGGAAAACUUGAGUGCAGAAGAGGAAAGUGGAAUUCCAUGUGUAGCGGUGAAAUGCGCAGAGAUAUGGAGGAACACCAGUGGCGAAGGCGACUUUCUGGUCUGUAACUGACGCUGAUGUGCGAAAGCGUGGGGAUCAAACAGGAUUAGAUACCCUGGUAGUCCACGCCGUAAACGAUGAGUGCUAAGUGUUAGGGGGUUUCCGCCCCUUAGUGCUGCAGCUAACGCAUUAAGCACUCCGCCUGGGGAGUACGACCGCAAGGUUGAAACUCAAAGGAAUUGACGGGGACCCGCACAAGCGGUGGAGCAUGUGGUUUAAUUCGAAGCAACGCGAAGAACCUUACCAAAUCUUGACAUCCUUUGACAACUCUAGAGAUAGAGCUUUCCCCUUCGGGGGACAAAGUGACAGGUGGUGCAUGGUUGUCGUCAGCUCGUGUCGUGAGAUGUUGGGUUAAGUCCCGCAACGAGCGCAACCCUUAAGCUUAGUUGCCAUCAUUAAGUUGGGCACUCUAAGUUGACUGCCGGUGACAAACCGGAGGAAGGUGGGGAUGACGUCAAAUCAUCAUGCCCCUUAUGAUUUGGGCUACACACGUGCUACAAUGGACAAUACAAAGGGCAGCGAAACCGCGAGGUCAAGCAAAUCCCAUAAAGUUGUUCUCAGUUCGGAUUGUAGUCUGCAACUCGACUACAUGAAGCUGGAAUCGCUAGUAAUCGUAGAUCAGCAUGCUACGGUGAAUACGUUCCCGGGUCUUGUACACACCGCCCGUCACACCACGAGAGUUUGUAACACCCGAAG